GAUAUGCAUACAGACACACACGAGAGAUAUAGAGGGAAAGAGAGAGAGAGAAAGAGAUUGAAAGACAGUGAGAGUUGUAAAAUUGGACCUGUUUGUAGGAAGUGCACACACACACACACACACACACACAAACGCACACACGUACACAGCCGUUGACCCCUGUCUCUUGGCAGUGUGUCCCCAUGCCUGCCUGUCGCUGGGCUGGCGUUACUCUGGGAACGGUGCCAGGCUCGACGCCCCUGUGGCAGCAGCAGCCAAUGAGUGGCCCGGCGGGCACACCGCUCCCUCUGAUGCCCUGCCAACUAUUCAUCACUUAACAGGAAGAGGGAGAAAUCAGCCACGGCUGCCAAUUAUCAGGGAAAAACAGAAGGAAACUGGGGCAGGGGAGACACAACAUGGAGGAGGAACAUACAGACAAACAGACACAAUGUGUUAAAGGCAGACAGAUGGAAACAGACAGACGGACAGACGGACGGAAGGACAGAUUGACAGACAUGCAAAAUGUGAUAAAGGCAGACAGACGGGAGUGUUUUUGAGUUGUGCUUUCUGGGUUUUAUUCUUCGUCCACUUGGAAAAGGCAUUAACAGCCAGCUAGAACCAUACAUAGAGAUUUCACAAUAAGCAACCAGACUAUCUCUACAUUAUGACUUGUCACUGAGAGGGUACAGAGCACUGUGAGAUAUCCCCUCAAUAUCAACUUUAUAUAGCUCUGAUGUCACAGACAUGCCUGUGCAGGUUCAGUGUCAGUCUGGUCUUUCUACAACUCCACUGUGACUGGUUCUGUUUUAACACUCCCUAUCUCUCUCUCUCUUUCUCUUUCUCUCUGAAAGUUGAAACACUGUACAAAUACAGGAUGACUCAAACACAGAGGGCCAGGGAGAUUCCACAGGUCAGUCCUGACAACAGAUUAGUAUAGUCUAAACACCCUUUCAGAUCAGCUCUCUCCUGGUGGCACUGACAGACAAACAGACAUACUAACAGACAGACGGCCCCGUAAUGCUCUGUACUAGCAAACGCACCCCUAAAAAAUGAAUCAACACCGGUGGGCCUGGCCCUGCUCCCAACACUUCCUGACAAACGGCAAAGGAACAGCAGCCCGCUGUCGAACGGACACACCUGUCACCACGGAUACAGGGGCUUUACCGGCUGAUGAGAGAAAACAAAGCCAGGAAUGAACGACAGAAGAGAAAUAAAGGAGAAGAAAAGACAGAAAAACAAAAACACUAUGCCGGCCCUUUAAAUGUUCCUCCUGCACCUGACAGACAGGCAGACUGACACAUCCAUCCAUUCCCCCAGCCUGCCUUUGUUGCUAUAGACUGUUCCUGCUUUGACUCCAGCCUGAUUAAAGUCCACUGUUGGGCUAAGUGUG
This is a long non-coding RNA of Coregonus clupeaformis (lake whitefish), 1369 nucleotides long. RefSeq lists it as uncharacterized. NCBI's taxonomy places the organism in Eukaryota, Metazoa, Chordata, Actinopteri, Salmoniformes, Salmonidae. The transcript is spliced from 2 exons. The record is from RefSeq and is a predicted model, not a curated record.